Solanum lycopersicum (tomato) is the source of this 2472-nucleotide non-coding RNA. The record is from RefSeq and is a predicted model, not a curated record. NCBI's taxonomy places the organism in Eukaryota, Viridiplantae, Streptophyta, Magnoliopsida, Solanales, Solanaceae.
UAAAAAUUGUUGUGAAUACUUUAUUGCCACUUGUUGAACAUAGAAAAUGUGCAAGACAUGUUCUUACAAAUUGGUCAAAAAAUUGGAAAGGAGUUGAAAGAAGAAGAGUGUUUUGGAGGAUUGCUAAAUCCACAUUUGAAGUUAAGAUGAAAGACAAUAUAGAGACAAUGAGGAAGUUAGGACAAGAAGGUUUAGAUAAUCUUUUAUGGUACAAUUUGAAUACAUGGUGCAAGAAGUAUUUUGAAGAAUAUAGCAAAUGUGAUGUUGUGGACAACAAUAUGGUAAAAAGCUUUAAUGCUUGGAUAGUGUCUGCAAGGUAUAAAACCAUCAUUACAAUGCUCGAGGAGAUAAGAGUGAAGAUGAUGAAAAGAAUUAGUGAUUUGAGAGAGUUCUCAAACACUUGGAUCACUGAUAUAUCUCCUAUGUCUUUGAAGAUUUUGCAAGAAAACAUUCAAAAGUCUAUGCAAUGUAACUUGAUUUGGAAUGGAGAAAGAGGUUUUGAGAUUAAACACCAUGGGUUUACACACACUGUGGACAUUGCUAAUAGGAGGUGUAGUUGCAGAUCCUGGCAGCUUAGGGGAAUUCCUUGUCCUCAUGGUGUUGCUGCCCUUCAUUACAAAAACUUGGAACCAAUCCAUUAUGUGGCUGUUAUAGCAAGGUAACCUACCUUAACACAUAUGCCCAUUUUAUUCAGCCAAUGAAUAACAUGAAAAUGUGGUCAACCUCAAAUAAUCCAAUUGUAAAGCCACCAAAGAUUAGAAAGUUGCCUGAAACACCAGUUAAGGUUAAAAUAAAGGAAGCAAAUGAAAGCAGAAAAACUGGAAAGUUGAGCAAAAGAGGUGCUGUAAUGACUUGUAGCAAAUGUGGCACACAAGGACACAAUAAAAGAUGAUGUCUUACAAGAAACCAAGCUGAUCCAAGUCAAUCAACUGAACCAGUUUCUCAGGCAAGAAGUACUGGUCCAAGUCAGUCAUCUGAACCAUCUUCUCAUACACAGGCACAGGAAGAGCAACAAGAGGAAGAGCAACAACAGGAAGAGCAAGUGGCAGGAGGUGUUCCAGCUCAAUCACAUGAAAAUGUUACAAACACAGAGACUGUAAAUGGUAGAGGUAGAGGUAGAGGUACAGGUAGAGGAACAGGAUCAGAAAGAGAAAUGGCUCAAGAAAGAAAUGUGAAUGAAGGACUAAGUAGAGGAAGAGGAAUGACUCAACAUAGUCAAACUAGUUCAGAAGCAAACUACAGUAUAGGAGGCCUAGGAAGAAGGAAGAGACCAGUAGAACAUGAAGACACUAGUGGAGGACAAACAAGACCUUUUAAAAGGCCAAGAAUGGUAGGUGUUGGCAUAUACCAAGCUAAAGAUGGAUUUACAACUCUCAAUCCUGGAUUGCCAAGUAGAAGAGUCAUCAAUACUGGUACAAAAGUUACAAAGAGGGCUGAUGUUGUCACUGGUGAUAUUGGUUACACACCAGUACUGGAUUCAAAUGGAAGGGGAAGACAACUAUUACCAGUAGCAACCUAGAAAGAAUGAGGGCUGAAAAGGUUAUCCAAACUAGGUCUGUAGUUGCUGCUAAUGCUGCUAAUAGCCAAGGCCAAACAACUUCAAGUAGAAAAACUUCUGUGCCAUGGAAGUAGGGCAUUUUGAUGUUGUCUUGUUCAUUUUGACAAACAAAAUUUAACUAUGCAUAUAUUUAUGUUGUUUUUUUACUGGAAACAAACUCAAUUUUUGGUGUAACCAAACAAACUUGAAUGGUUGGAAUCAAACUCGAUUAUGAAGUCUUCUUUUUUGUCAGUUUUGUUAUUGCCUUUUUAAUUGUAAUUGACAUAUUUGUGAAGCUUCUCAAAUGGUUGCCACGAUAAUAUAGAUUAGAGAACCAAAUACAUUAACUAAUUGUUCAAAUCAUAAUAAUUUCGACAACAAAGAACAAAAAUAACUUGAACAUUCAACAAUCUUUCAAGUUACACACACCUACAACUAGCAAGAUCAAGACAAUUAGCUUCUAGGUACACACACCUAUAAUUUCAAAAAUUUGAAAGUAACUAAACAUGUUUAUGGCAAUUUUGGUUGCACACACCUACAACUUCCAUCCUUCACAUUCUUGGUUAGACUUAAACAUAGAAAACACACAAUAAUGAUCAAGACGAUUAGCUUCAAGUUACAACAUUUGCCCUUCUUUUUCUCCUUCAUCGUGACUUGGUUACUUUCAACACGACUUUCAUAAGAUGUCAAUAUUUCUUCCAACUCCUUAAUUCUCUUUGCUAAUCUCGGAAUAACAUGCUUGGAUCUUAUAUCAACUUCUUCUCGAUCCCUCCAUCUAAAGAAGUUGCACGCAUCCUCCUAAAAUACGCAAAACACAAAUUAAAGAAAAAUACAUAAACAAAAGAUCUCAAUAAAAAAAUUAGUAAACAUACACGAUAGCGUGGACAAGACCAAAAUCUUCGAGCUGGGUUAUGCUCCAACCAUGAAGUUUGCAU